RNAcentral lists this long non-coding RNA (243 nucleotides) under Homo sapiens (human). RNAcentral's name for it is "non-protein coding lnc-MBTPS2-2:2". Lineage: Eukaryota; Metazoa; Chordata; Mammalia; Primates; Hominidae. The record is from RNAcentral.
UGUCAGCCAGUCUGAGAAAUAAAGAGAAAGAGCACAAAGAGAGGAAUUUUACAGCUGGGCCUCCAGGGGUGACAUCACAUAUCGGUAUGACAGUGAUGCCCACCUGAGCCACAAAAUCAGCAGGUUUUUAUUAAGGAUUUCCAAAGGGGAGUCAAACUUAGCCUGUGUACAUUUAUCCAUAUGCAUUUAUUGCUAUCCAGGUUAUUGCAACGGAGUAGCAGUUUUCAAGGGGGCAGGGGUUGC